CAGAGGGUGCGAGCGUUGUUCGGAAUUACUGGGCGUAAAGACGCGCGCAGGCGGCCCUUUAAGUCUGUCGGUCAAAUGCCGGGGCUCAACCCCGGGCGUGCCGAGGAUACUGGAGGGCUGGAGACACGUAGAGGCAAGCGGAAUUCCGGGUGUAGCGGUGGAAUGCGUAGAGAUCCGGAAGAACACCGGAGGCGAAGGCGGCUUGCUGGGCGUGAUCUGACGCUGAGGCGCGAAAGCGUGGGGAGCGAACAGGAUUAGAUAACCCUGGUAGUCCACGCCGUAAACGAUGGGCACUAGACGCUGGGUGGGAUCGACCCCUUCGGUGUCGCAGCUAACGCGAUAAGUGCCCCGCCUGGGGAGUACGGCCGCAAGGCUG
Molecule: ribosomal RNA, 376 nt
Filed under: uncultured organism
Description: bacterial SSU rRNA
Rfam family: Bacterial small subunit ribosomal RNA
Source: RNAcentral